CACGGGCUAACAAAGACGGAGGAACGGGGUAAGUUUCCUGCAAUAAAGCUACGCCAAAACGAGGCUAUUGUGUAAUGUCACGCUAAUCUAUAUUUUCGUGGCCUUUACGCAGAUUCCCACUGGGUACCGGAAAUAAAGGCGUUCGUUUGGACGAGAAUGACGCCGGCGCACUGGGCAAGGCUGGAGAAACGCUGUUGACAUUGGGUCGGCUGCUUCAGGGCGAGAACGUUGCUUUAAGCAAGGAGGCCAAAAGCGACUUCUUCAAGGUCAUCCAGGUUUUGGCUCACAAUGGCGAAGACCUAAGCGACGGCGCCUCCGAGUAUUUUUUGCCCAUCCUGGUCCGCGCUAUAACUAGGGGUGUAGUAGCCCACACAGUGCAAAAGAACUUGAACAGAGGAUAAAACAGUUUUUUAUACUUUAUGAAGAUAUCAUAAAGAGUUUGUGUGCGAAUUGAAGAAUGCAAUAAAAUUUGUUAAACGCG
Molecule: long non-coding RNA, 481 nt
Organism: Dermacentor silvarum
Lineage: Eukaryota; Metazoa; Arthropoda; Arachnida; Ixodida; Ixodidae
Exons: 2
Source: RefSeq, a predicted model, not a curated record